GAUGAAGAACGCAGCAAAAUGCGAUAAGUAACGUGAAUUGCAGAAUUCAGUGAAUCAUCGAAUCUUUGAACGCACAUUGCGCCCGCUGGUAUUCCGGCGGGCAUGCCUGUUCGAGCGUCAUUUCAACCCUCAAGCCCCCGGGUUUGGUGUUGGGGAUCGGCUCUGCCCUUCUGGGCGGUGCCGCCCCCGAAAUACAUUGGCGGUCUCGCUGCAGCCUCCAUUGCGUAGUAGCUAACACCUCGCAACUGGAACGCGGCGCGGCCAUGCCGUAAAACCCCAACUUCUGAAUGUUGACCUCGGAUCAGGUAGGAAUACCCGCUGAACUUAAGCAUAUCAAUAAGCGGAGGA
RNAcentral lists this unclassified non-coding RNA (348 nucleotides) under soil metagenome. RNAcentral's name for it is "partial contains 5.8S ribosomal RNA, internal transcribed spacer 2, and large subunit ribosomal RNA". The stretch from base 1 to 120 matches the Rfam family "5.8S ribosomal RNA", at positions 35 to 154 of the family's 154-position model. The record is from RNAcentral.